UCGAGGAUCUUUCGCAAUGGACGAAAGUCUGACGAAGCGACGCUGUGUGAGCGAUGAAGGCCUUCGGGUUGUAAAGCUCUUUCGCAUAAGAACAAGAAAGGUUGGCUAAUAACCAAUCGAUUUGAGGGUACUAUGUAAAGAAGCACCGGCUAACUCCGUGCCAGCAGCUGCGGUAAUACGGAGGGUGCAAGCAUUAAUCGGAUUUAUUGGGCGUAAAGGGCGCGUAGGCGGGUUUGAAAGUCAGAUGUGAAAUUCCGAAGCUCAACUUCGGAGCUGCAUUUGAAACUCCAAGUCUUGAGGAAUGGCGGAGAAAAUGGAAUUCCACGUGUAGCGGUGAAAUGCGUAGAUAUGUGGAAGAACACCGGUGGCGAAAGCGGUUUUCUAGCUUUUUCCUGACGCUGAGGCGCGAGAGCAAGGGGAGCAAACAGGAUUAGAUACCCCCGUAGUCC
Molecule: ribosomal RNA, 449 nt
Filed under: uncultured bacterium
Lineage: Bacteria
Description: bacterial SSU rRNA
Rfam family: Bacterial small subunit ribosomal RNA
Source: RNAcentral